This 613-nucleotide long non-coding RNA is filed under the name Elaeis guineensis (African oil palm). RNAcentral's name for it is "long non-coding RNA (EGUI_LNC072802)". Lineage: Eukaryota; Viridiplantae; Streptophyta; Magnoliopsida; Arecales; Arecaceae. The record is from RNAcentral.
UCUUUGGCCAACUUGAUUUUCAGUAUUUAGCGGACAGCUAACAAUUUUAUGAUCCAUCUGACCACAUUUGAAACAAGCACCUGUAUUCCAAUGGCAAUCCUUGUCUGCAUGAUUUUUACCACAUCUGGAGCACCGCUCACCAUCAAUCUAUUGAGUCUUAUUAUCUAUUGCUCCCUUAGUUGAACUUUUGAUAUUUUUAUUAUUCUGUCCUUGUGUAUCAUUUGAUUUUACUCUCUUUCUUUGUUUUCUUUCCCUUUCUAUGCGUUCUUCAUUGACUUCUCUUUCAAUUAUCAGAGCUUUGUUUACCACAUUUGCAUAAGUUGUCAAUUCAUACGGAACCAUUUGUUUUUGAAUCUCAGUUCUCAGUCCCAUCUCAAACUUGUGAACACGUUCUUGCUCACCAUCCACUAAUCUCGGAGCAAAUUUUGCUAACUCUAUAAAUUUUGCUUCAUAUUCAGUCACACUCAUAUCCUUUUGCGUCAAAUAAAUAAACUCUUGCUCUUUCUAGAUCCUUAUACUCCGAGAAAAAUACUGAUCAUAGAAUGCAAUCCAAAAUCUUUCCUAGGUAAGUAUUUCGCCGUCUUGUUCAUACUUGCGCUAUAGUCGCUGACAC